GUGCUCACUUCAGCAGCACAUAUGCUCAAAUUGGAAUGACACAGAAAAGCUUAGCAUGGCCUUGUGCAAGCCGACACGUAAAUUUACAAACCAUUCCAUAUUUUU
Molecule: small nuclear RNA, 105 nt
Organism: Octodon degus (degu)
Lineage: Eukaryota; Metazoa; Chordata; Mammalia; Rodentia; Octodontidae
Source: Ensembl